Molecule: unclassified non-coding RNA, 790 nt
Filed under: Pomacea canaliculata
Lineage: Eukaryota; Metazoa; Mollusca; Gastropoda; Architaenioglossa; Ampullariidae
Description: uncharacterized LOC112560815, transcript variant X2
Source: RNAcentral
CUUCUGUCAGAUACACUAUAUCUGUGUAAACAGUUCAAAAUCGUGGGAACCGUUGUCCCAUGUCACCGCUAAAUAAGCCAGAAAUAAGGAUCAUCGCCAGGUCUGUGUUCAGUGCGAGAGUACAAAGUGUACCUAUCACAGGUGUAUGAGUCCAACUUGGAAAUAAAUCACAGCUAUACCUCAGACAAAAGAAAAAGUUCUCACGGCGAGAUGACUGGACACUCAGACCGGACUCUGGUGAGGUGCGUGACGGCGGUCAUUGUCGCGACAUCUGUCCUGUCCUGGGCCCAGCUUGUGGACCCAGAGAAAGCCUGCCUUUGCUCUGGAAUACACAUCGAUGGGUGCCAUCGCGCAUUGCACCAUUGUCGAUGCUUCCUCUCUCAAGAACGUGAUGCUACAAAACUCUUCUGCCUUUGACAAGUUUUUUUCAGUCCUACCUGCUGAAAAAUGCCCCUCAGGUGAAAAGUCAAGUCGAAGAACAAAUGACUCAGACCCUCAGACUGCCCUCCCUGAGCCCAGUGGGAGGAGUUAGACAGAGAGAAUUGGACUGAACGAGAGAGAGAGAAAGGUUGCAUCACCGCUUUAAUGAGACAAAACACUGACUGUUGUCAUAGCUCGAGAAAUCACAGAAUAAAAUCAGACAUGAACAAAAUUUUUAAAAAAAAUGAUGCGAUAAGUUAUCAGAAUGCUGUUCAACUGCUCGUGCCCUGUGUAUGUAUAUGUAAGUCUGUUUUUCUGUGGUUGUACUAACUGUACCUUGACUUGAAUAGUAAAGUCCCGGUCUGAUAAA